GUUAUUGUAGCUUAUCGCAAAGCAUGGCACUGAAAUUGCCAAGAUGGGUCCCCUACAAACCCCAAAAACA
RNAcentral lists this transfer RNA (70 nucleotides) under Cuora trifasciata (three-banded box turtle). Its description in RNAcentral is "tRNA-Phe". It matches the Rfam family "tRNA". From Rfam's summary of the family: Transfer RNA (tRNA) molecules are approximately 80 nucleotides in length. Their secondary structure includes four short double-helical elements and three loops (D, anti-codon, and T loops). Further hydrogen bonds mediate the characteristic L-shaped molecular structure. tRNAs have two regions of fundamental functional importance: the anti-codon, which is responsible for specific mRNA codon recognition, and the 3' end, to which the tRNAs corresponding amino acid is attached (by aminoacyl-tRNA synthetases). tRNAs cope with the degeneracy of the genetic code in two manners: having more than one tRNA (with a specific anti-codon) for a particular amino acid; and 'wobble' base-pairing, i.e. permitting non-standard base-pairing at the 3rd anti-codon position. The record is from RNAcentral. Lineage: Eukaryota; Metazoa; Chordata; Testudines; Geoemydidae.